AUGGCGACGCUCAAGGUCCCCUCCAACGUCCCGGCCCUCGCCGACGACUGCGACAACCUCCGCAAGGCCUUCCAAGGGUGGGGCACGAACGAGGCGCUCAUCAUCUCCAUCCUCGGCCACCGCGACGCCGCGCAGCGCCGCGCCAUCCGCAAGCACUACGCCGACACCUACGGCGAGGAGCUGCUCCGGAGCAUCACCGACGAGAUCUCCGGCGACUUCGAGAGGGCCGUGAUCCUGUGGACGCUGGACCCGGCGGAGCGGGACGCGGUGCUCGCCAACGAGACCGCCAAGAAGUGGCACCCCGGGAACCCCGUGCUGGUCGAGAUCGCCUGCGCGCGCGGCUCCAAGCAGCUCUUCGCUGUCAGGCAGGCCUACCACGACCGCUUCAAGCGCUCGCUCGAGGAGGACGUCGCUGCCCAUAUCACCGGCGACUUCCGCAAGCUGUUGGUGCCACUUGUAAGCUCACACCGCUAUGAGGGACCAGAGGUCAACACAAGGUUGGCUCAUUCAGAGGCCAAAUUACUACAUGAGAAGAUUGAGCAUAAGGCUUAUGGUGAUGAUGAGGAUCUCAAGGCUGACCCCAAGGAUGAGUUUCUCAAAACCCUGCGGGCUGUUAUCCGGUGCUUCACCUGUCCUGAUAGGUACUUUGAGAAGGUGGCCAGGCUGGCCAUUGCAGGCAAUGGAACCGAUGAGAACUCCCUCACUAGGGUCAUAACCACCCGCGCUGAGGUGGACCUGAAGCUGAUCAAAGAGGCGUAUCAGAAGAGAAACAGUGUUCCCCUGGAGAAGGCCGUCGCAGGCGACACCUCCGGCGACUACGAGAGCAUGCUCCUCGCCCUCCUGGGGAAGGAGUGA
RNAcentral lists this ribosomal RNA (855 nucleotides) under Triticum aestivum (bread wheat). Its description in RNAcentral is "partial small subunit ribosomal RNA". Lineage: Eukaryota; Viridiplantae; Streptophyta; Magnoliopsida; Poales; Poaceae. The record is from RNAcentral.